CCUACGGGUGGCAGCAGUGGGGAAUAUUGGUCAAUGGUCGCAAGCCUGACCCAGCAACGCCGCGUGAAGGAAGAAUGCUUUCGGGUUGUAAACUUCUUUUAAUGGGGAGGAGUAGAACACGGUACCUCUUGAAUAAGCCACGUCUAACUACGUGCCAGCAGCAGCUGUAAUACGUAGGUGGCAAGCGUUGUCCGGAUUUACUGGGUGUAAAGGGCGUGCAGCCGUGAAGACAAGUCAGAUGUGAAAUCCCGCGGCUCAACCGCCGCACUGAAGUUGAAACUGUGUUUCUUGAGUACGCGAGAGGUAAGCGGAAUGCGUGGUGUAGCGGUGAAAUGCGGAGAUAUAAGGAAGAACACCGGGGGCGAAGGCGGAAGACGGGAGGGCAACGGACGGGGAGGCGCGAAGGCGUGGGGAGCGAACAGGAUUAGAUACCCGGGUAGUC
RNAcentral lists this ribosomal RNA (442 nucleotides) under uncultured bacterium. RNAcentral's name for it is "partial 16S ribosomal RNA". It matches the Rfam family "Bacterial small subunit ribosomal RNA", at positions 338 to 795 of the family's 1533-position model. The record is from RNAcentral.